RNA transcript from Cygnus atratus (black swan), 4709 nucleotides. It is a transcript of the gene named cyclin G1, with no coding region annotated. The record is from RefSeq and is a predicted model, not a curated record. The transcript is spliced from 8 exons. Lineage: Eukaryota; Metazoa; Chordata; Aves; Anseriformes; Anatidae.
GUGUCAGUCCAUCAGCGCGCAGCCCCGCCCCCUGCCCGGCGGAGCGCAGCACGGAGCGGAGCGGUGGGCGCCGGGCGCGGCUGCAUGGCGUGCUGGGGGUCGUGCCGGCGGGUGGGCGCCACGCCGCGCUGAUCCGCGCUGCUCGGGGCGGGCGACACCACCUCGGGCUCUUCCUCUGAUAGAAGGGAACAGCGAGGCGGGGAUCAAGAUGAUCGAAACGCUUGUGACUACCGAAGCGCAGGAGCUGUUGUACCAGCUGACGGCCCUGCUGGAGCAGGAGCUGAGGUGUCAGCCCAAGGCAUCUGGCCUGAGACUCAUCGAAGCUGCCCACGAUAAUGGCCUCCGAAUGACUGCCCGCCUGCGAGACUUUGAAGUGAAAGAUCUCCUCAGCUUAACUCAGUUCUUCGGCUUCCACACGGAGACGUUUUCACUAGCUGUGAAUUUCUUAGAUAGGUUCUUGUCAAAAAUGAAGGUACAGCCUAAGCACUUAGGCUGUGUUGGACUCAGCUGCUUCUACUUGGCUGUGAAAGCAACAGAGGAAGAGAGAAAUGUUCCCUUAGCCACUGACUUGAUUCGAAUAAGCCAGUAUAGGUUCACUGUUUCUGAUAUGAUGAGAAUGGAGAAAAUCGUAUUGGAGAAGCUGUCUUGGAAAGUCAAAGCUACAACAGCCUUCCAGUUUCUACAACUGUAUCAUUCGCUCAUUCAUGAGAAUUUAAGCUGUGAAAGGAGAAAAUACCUUAAUUUUGAGAGACUUGAGACACAGCUUAAGGCAUGUCACUGCAGAAUCAUGUUUUCUAAAGCCAAGCCUUCUGUCUUGGCAUUGUCUAUUAUGGCACUAGAGAUAGAAGAACAAAAAUUACUGGAGUUGACAGAGGCAUUGGAAUUUCUGCAGCUGCAUUCCAAGAUGAGCAACAGAGAGUUGACCUUCUGGAAGGAAUUGGUGUUAAAGUGCCUUACAGAAUAUUCCUCGAGCAAGUGUUCGAAACCAAACGUCCAGAAAUUAAAAUGGAUUGUGUCUGGACGUACAGCACGGCAGCUUAAACAUAGCUAUUACAGAAUAACACACCUUCCUACAAUUCCAGAGACCAGCUCAUAAUAGGAAUACAAUAAAAUGAGAGAACCAUCCUGUGACCUAGUUCACAGGCAGAUGAAGAUUUGAGAAACCAAGUCUGAAACAUGAUCUUAAUAAUGAAGAACCCAACUCAUGGAAAUACGUAACAUUUCAGACUAAAAAUCAUUGCAGCAAAUGCGUUCUUUUCCACGAUGAUUACAACAACAUUCAGUGUCAGUUUUUGGUCUUAUUAGACCAUUUACUAUCCAAACAGUGAAAAACCUCAAUACUGAUAGAAGGAAUUUAACACCUUAGAGUUUGUAGAGCAGCUUGUGUAGUCUAACCUUGUUUUACUAUAAGUGCAGAUGCCCGGUGGUGUAUUAAAUUUAAAAAAAAUCUGGUUCAACUUUCCAAAGAUUACAGGACAUUAGGAAAAUGUGUGCAGUGGCACAGUGCUGUAGUCUCAGGCAAACUAAAGACCAGCUUGCUCAAUAUUGAUGAGAAUAGGAAAUGCUUGUCAGUCAACCUGACAUGCUGGCUUGGAAGUGUCAUGUGUCCAUGUGUUCCUACAGGGCAGGGUACUGGCCUUUAACAUAGACAAACUAAAAACAAAGCUCUACGAUACCUGCUGAGCACGUCAAGUACCUGGAGCAGGACAAAGGGGAGAAACUUGAUUUCAUUGCCUUGUAAAAGAUAGUCACGAACACUGCAUUGAUAACGUCAGUGUUUUGUAAGAGGUGUAGUUUGCUGAGAUUAUGAAGGAUGGAGAGAGCAUAGAAACUUCAUGGUACGUAAGAAGGCUGGAGAGAAACCACUGAGUUACCUGCCCCAAAUCUGCCAUUAGUCUUGCGAGGUUUUGCUACACAAGAGGUAAAUGCUGAUGCUGAACAGAUGGAUUUUACAGGCACAGUAAGAACAGGGCCGUAGUCCCAUAACAGCCUGUAAGUAGGAACAAUUGAGGUGAGAAACAACUGAAGAUUGUUUCAACUCUCAUCUGUUUAACAAUUAGCUUUGUGAAACACACCUGCUCUGUUUUUUUUUUUUUCCCCUGAAGACCGCGUCAGUACUUGAGGCGUAUCUUGCUUUUGGUACUAACAUGAAAGUGAAUAAUAAGAAUGUGUUAUUGGAUGUGAGAUGGAUAGAGGUGUGGUGGGGAAUGUUGCUAAUGACCUCUUGAAUUCUGUGUCACUGUGGAGCAGAGGCUGUUAGGGGUAGGCUGAUCAUAACUGCCAUGUAAAUGGAUUUAGGGGAAAAUGAGCGAUCUGAAUAUAGUGUGGGCUUAAAUGCUAGCCUACCAAACCUGUCCCCUUAAUGGUAAUAGCUGAUGCGUAAACCAUUCUUAGCAUAUCUUAAACUAAUUAAAUUCUUCACAAAAGACUUCAUACCAAAGCUCUGUACUGAACAAAUCAAGCUUUCUUGUGAACUCAUGGGAAUGAUUGCACUGCAUAGCAUUUAAUCGAGUCUUCCAUCUGCCAGUGCUCUCUGUGCAUUGUGCUGGCCUCUGAAAAGCAUACACGUGACUCAGACAAAGGGGUGGACAGCUUACUGGGAGAGAUGGACAACGAUGCAGUGUGCAAUUCUACUGGUGUUGUCAUGUGUCAAGAUAAUUCCAAAACUUGCAGUGGACAAGAGAAGUAGCUAUCCAACUAGUUUAAACCUGUCCUCUUACAACAAUUCAAAGCUGUGAUGCCUUACUGUGUAAGCCAGCUUAACUGUUAUCAUGUGAAAUACUUGCACUGAGUAGUAUUUUGGCGCUUGCAGUGGCCUCGUUCGUGCCUUAACUGCACCAUCCAACUUCUGAACUACAAUUGUGGCAAAGAUGCACUUAAUACCAAACUAUACCUACUUUUGUACACUAUGGAAAGCUGUCUAAAACCUUACCAUGGCAUUUGGUGCUACUAUAUAUUUCUGUAAAGAUGAUGGGGGUAGAAAAAUCGCAAUUAUUUCAGGAGUACUGCUGGUUUGCUUGCUGGUGCGAGAAAGCAUUGGAUGUAAUUACAGCAAAAGCAUUCGUCAACAACUCUUGCUUUAUUUUUGCCAUAUCCCAACUGAAAUAAUGAUGCAGUUUUUAAAGUAAGGUUCAACACUAUCAUAGAUGCUGCUGGCAAUCUCCAGGGGGACUUGUGCUUAGGACCUACUUACAGGCAAUAGUUUCAGUGUUCAGAAUACAAUAGAAUUUGGCAAUAGUUUCAGUGUUCAGAAUACAAUAGAAUUUGGCAAUCGUGUUUUCUUCUUGUUAGUUUGCCACACCACUUGUCCCAUGUGAUGCAGUUGGAGGGCUUCUGAGCUGCAUCCUUAAGAACGAGUAGAAAAAUCAUAAGUAAUUGGCGCAUGCAAAAUAUUAAAUCAUGCAGUAGCCAAGAUUAAGGUGUGGCUAUCAAACUGAAAACUAACUGCAGAAAUCUACAGCUGCAUGUUCAGCUUAUAUAAGCAGCUUGUACUGUAUGUUGGUGGCGAACAGAUGCAAGAUAUUUCUUACUUAAGGACUUCCUACUUUUUUCAAGAAUUAUUACAUUCUCUUACUUGCAAAGUUUUAAAUAUUUCUACUGAAAGACUUUAUGACAUUAACACAGUUAUGUAUACCCAGACUUUCACUUGACUUGUCUCCUCUCCAGUAGCACUUAGCUGAGAGCAAGGAAUCACAGAAUCAUUAAGGUUGGAAAAGACCUUCAAGGUCAUCUGGUCCAACCCUCCCCCUACCACCGAUGUCACCCAUUAAACCAUGUCCCUAAGCACCAGGUCCAACCUUCCCUUGAACACCCCUGGGGACGGUGAUGCCAUCACCUCCCUAGGCACCACCUGCACUCACUCCAGCUGUGGGCACACACACCUGCUGCCCCACAGCCUGGCUGCAGUUGCAGCACUCACAGGCCCGUUCCUGGACAUGCACACAGAACUGAGAGCCCCUUUUAGUGCUAUAUUUGGCAAUGCAGUGCAUUGUAAAGCUUCAGUUGAGGCAAGAUGCAGUAGUUUAUUAACCACUAUUUUAGAAUAAGGUACAAAUUCUUAGAGGGCUGCUAAAAGUGCAAGUCUGUUUCAAAAGUGCAACUGUAGCCUUCCCAAUAUCCUUCUAGUUGCAAGUUAAGAAAAAAAUAUUCAGUAUCUUGCUUCUAGGAUCCAUCUUCAACAGUAAAGAUAUUCUUACAUAAAGACAAGUGGUAUAUUUAUAACUGACUAGUUUACUGUUGUAUCAGAGAAGUGUUCUGCUUCAGGAUGUUACUUUUUUGUAUACACCUUUUUAUGUAUUUUAUCCUUUUAAUGUGAGAAAGUUAUUGCAGCUUACGAAUCAGCUGCUGACACUGUCUUCGUUCUGCUAGAAGAGACCUGUGGGAAAGGAAUUCACAGGGAGCUUUGUGCUGUUUUGUGGGAAAGGAAUUCGCAGGUGGCUUUGCGCUGUUUCACACGUCCCUGAGUUAGAGAUAAUGAGGAAAACAGCGGUAGAACCAAAAACUUGAGCAAGGUCGAGAUAAAGUAAAUUGGCUAGAGUGUUAAAGAUGAGCUUUGGGCAGUGGCCAAUUGCUGGCUGGCUCAAGGCGCGUGUCUGAGGGUCUCAAACCACUUGUAAGACAGAUUCGGGCGCAUGGACAGCGCGUGGGGCUAUGGGGAAAGUAUAUGUCGUAGUAAAAAAGGGCAAUAAAUGUCUCCUGUUCAAGAGCCA